RNAcentral lists this ribosomal RNA (250 nucleotides) under uncultured bacterium. RNAcentral's name for it is "partial 16S ribosomal RNA". It matches the Rfam family "Bacterial small subunit ribosomal RNA", at positions 524 to 773 of the family's 1533-position model. The record is from RNAcentral.
UACGUAGGGUGCGAGCGUUAAUCGGAAUUACUGGGCGUAAAGCGUGCGCAGGCGGUUCGUUGUGUCUGAUGUGAAAGCCCCGGGCUCAACUUGGGAAUGGCAUUGGAAACUGGCGAGCUAGAGUGUGGCAGAGGGGGGUGGAAUUCCGCGUGUAGCAGUGAAAUGCGUAGAGAUGCGGAGGAACACCGAUGGCGAAGGCAGCCCCCUGGGUUGACACUGACGCUCAGGCACGAAAGCGUGGGGAGCAAAC